UGCAGCUCUCGCCUGGUCGCCCACUGAAGCUAAGCAGGGCUGAGCCUGGUCACUACCUGGAUGGGAGACCUCCUGGGAAAACUAGGCUGCUGCUG
This 95-nucleotide ribosomal RNA is filed under the name Sinocyclocheilus grahami. Lineage: Eukaryota; Metazoa; Chordata; Actinopteri; Cypriniformes; Cyprinidae. The record is from RNAcentral.